AUCCAGCUGAAGUGUCCCAAACAGGACGAGAUUAGCGUCCUGGAU
RNAcentral lists this non-coding RNA (45 nucleotides) under Schistosoma haematobium. Lineage: Eukaryota; Metazoa; Platyhelminthes; Trematoda; Strigeidida; Schistosomatidae. The record is from RNAcentral.